Molecule: ribosomal RNA, 802 nt
Filed under: uncultured organism
Description: SSU rRNA
Rfam family: Bacterial small subunit ribosomal RNA
Source: RNAcentral
CGCUAGCUACAGGCUUAACACAUGCAAGUCGAGGGGCAGCAUGGUCUUAGCUUGCUAAGGCCGAUGGCGACCGGCGCACGGGUGAGUAACACGUAUCCAACCUGCCGUCUACUCUUGGACAGCCUUCUGAAAGGAAGAUUAAUACAAGAUGGCAUCAUGAGUUCACAUGUUCACAUGAUUAAAGGUAUUCCGGUAGACGAUGGGGAUGCGUUCCAUUAGAUAGUAGGCGGGGUAACGGCCCACCUAGUCUUCGAUGGAUAGGGGUUCUGAGAGGAAGGUCCCCCACAUUGGAACUGAGACACGGUCCAAACUCCUACGGGAGGCAGCAGUGAGGAAUAUUGGUCAAUGGGCGAGAGCCUGAACCAGCCAAGUAGCGUGAAGGAUGACUGCCCUAUGGGUUGUAAACUUCUUUUAUAAAGGAAUAAAGUCGGGUAUGCAUACCCGUUUGCAUGUACUUUAUGAAUAAGGAUCGGCUAACUCCGUGCCAGCAGCCGCGGUAAUACGGAGGAUCCGAGCGUUAUCCGGAUUUAUUGGGUUUAAAGGGAGCGUAGAUGGAUGUUUAAGUCAGUUGUGAAAGUUUGCGGCUCAACCGUAAAAUUGCAGUUGAUACUGGAUAUCUUGAGUGCAGUUGAGGCAGGCGGAAUUCGUGGUGUAGCGGUGAAAUGCUUAGAUAUCACGAAGAACUCCGAUUGCGAAAGCAGCCUGCUAAGCUGCAACUGACAUUGAGGCUCGAAAGUGUGGGUAUCAAACAGGAUUAGAUACCCUGGUAGUCCACACGGUAAACGAAGAAUACUCGCUGUUU